CCUUAACCUGCUAAAUAGUCCCUAUGGCUUUGGCUGUAGGCUGACUUCUUAGAGGGACUAUCAGCGUUUAGCUGAUGGAAGUUUGAGGCAAUAACAGGUCUGUGAUGCCCUUAGAUGUUCUGGGCCGCACGCGCGCUACACUGACAGAGCCAGCGAGUUCUCUCCUUAGCCGGAAGGCUUGGGUAAUCUUGUGAAACUCUGUCGUGAUGGGGAUAGAACAUUGCAAUUAUUGUUCUUCAACGAGGAAUACCUAGUAAGCGUGAUUCAUCAGAUCGCGUUGAUUACGUCCCUGCCCUUUGUACACACCGCCCGUCGCUACUACCGAUUGAAUGGCUUAGUGAGGCCUCCGGAUCGGCUAUCACAAUCCCGCGAGGGAAUGAGACUGCUGAAAAGUUGUACAAACUUGGUCAUUUAGAGGAAGUAAAAGUCG
RNAcentral lists this ribosomal RNA (430 nucleotides) under Microbotryales sp. RNAcentral describes it as "SSU rRNA". It matches the Rfam family "Eukaryotic small subunit ribosomal RNA", at positions 1341 to 1791 of the family's 1831-position model. The record is from RNAcentral. Lineage: Eukaryota; Fungi; Basidiomycota; Microbotryomycetes; Microbotryales.